RNAcentral lists this long non-coding RNA (2524 nucleotides) under Sus scrofa (pig). RNAcentral describes it as "lncRNA (ENSSSCG00040043256.1)". Lineage: Eukaryota; Metazoa; Chordata; Mammalia; Artiodactyla; Suidae. The record is from RNAcentral.
GACCUGAACCAGAGGGUGGGUAGGAGGUGCUUCUGAAGUGGUCGGAACUAAGUAGGCUUCUGCGGAUCAUCCGAUUCCGGAGCAACAUUUACCUGUUAUUCCUGAGUAAAUUGAGGAUCCAAGUAAGGUCGUGGUCCCUGCGAAAAGCGUCACCGUUACCUCCUGCUUCUCACGACUUCCGGGAUCCUGGAUCACUCUGGCCUCAUGGAAUCCAAGAAUGGAAGAUGGGAUCUUGAUCUGGAGUUUAGGAAGUGAAGUCAUGUGGUGAAGUGAGAACAAAGAGAAGAAACAGAGAACUGAAUUCAGGCUAUAAUGAGCUAAAACAAGGAUCUUAGUUAUUGACAGAACUAGAAUUCUUAAUUUUUUUCUUUUGCCUCAGUCUCUGACAUUGGUCUGCUCACACUAUGUUUAUCUAAAAUUUGCUAUUUUGUUCAUCAUGCAUUAUUUUGACGUUUAUUUUUUUAAUAGCAUUAAGGAGUUCCCAUGGGUAUUGAGGGUUAAGGAUCAGCAUUGUCACUGCAGUGGUGACAGUUCAACCCCUGGCCUGGGAACUUCCCCAUGCUGCAAGUGUAGCAGGAAAAAAAAAAUGGCAUUAAAACUGUUAUUACUUAUCUUGAUUACUGAUGUUUUGGACAUAGUCUUUAAUUUUGUGCCGUCAUAUUCUAGUCCUGGCCCUGGGAAGGAGAGUGAAGGUGAUGCAGGUGCCUCAUACCCCUGAGAGAAAAGUUAUAUUUCUUCCCCUUCUUUUUGAAAUGAAUACUUUGAAAUUGAACAGCUUAAAUCCUUCCUUGUCCUUUUUGGGGACUUAGUUACACCCUAAACACAAUCACCCAUAAGCUAAAGCUGAGCAGAAUUGCCUGUGGGUUAAAGUUUAUUAGCACAUGAUGUCUUUCAGGAACUUUCCUAGUUUGUUCUAAUCUCUGACCAAUAUGCCCUUUUCACAAGUACUAUUAUUCUAGAUGAUAACCCAGAAGACCUCCAUCAUGUUCAUUCUAAGAUCUUCUGACUCCAGCUUUGAUGACUAGGAUUCCCCCAAAGAAACAAGAAUGCAUGUUUGUCCCAAUCCUGAUUCCUAUCUGAAAAACUGUUUUUCUCCUUUUUGCUAUAAAACUCCUUGCAAUUCAUUCUAAGGGGAUGGGGGGGGGCACAGUCUUUAAGGCAUUAGCCUGCUUUGCCUCUCCUUUGCCUGGCAAAGCAAUAAAGCUUUUUUUUUUUUUUUUUUAACUCCUUUACCCAAAACUCUGUCUCUGCUUUUCAAUUCAGCACCAGCAGACAGAGGCCAAAUUCCAUCAAUAAAGGAACCAAAGCCUUCACCAGUUUCAGAGUUUGGAAAGGCCUGAGCCCAGAAAGCACCAAUCACAUUUACACCUUUUCUAUGGUCCACUUCUCUCUACCCGCUCCAUGGUCUCAAAUUGGGGUGACACCAUUACUUCUGUUGCCCUUCACCAUCUUUUUUUUUUUUUUUUUUUUUUUUUUUUGGUCAUUUUAGUGCCACACCUGUGGUAUAUGGAAGUUCCCAGGCUAGGGGAAUCAGAACUGCAGCUACCGGCCUACACCACAGCCACAGCAAUGGGAGAUCUGAGCUCUGUCUGUGACCUACACCACAGCUCAUGGCAAUGCCUUAUCCUUAACCCACUAAGAGAGGCCAGGGAUUGAACCCACAUCCUCAUGGAUACUACUUGGGUUCCUUCCUUACUGAUGAGCUACAAUGGGAACUCCUGCCCUUUACCAUCUUGAUUAAACUCUACAACAUUUCUUUUCCUUUGUGUCCUGAACAUGUUAGAAAUGGCAAAGAACUUUUAUUAGAAAAAUACAAUCACCAAAUCACACAGAACGGUAAUGGUAAAGUUCAAAGGACACAUAUUUUGACACUCUUGGUCUCACCCUUGACCUUGCCAGUGAAUAAAAUAGGGCUUCACUCUCAUGGAUUUGUUCCAGUAUGCCACUUUUAGCAUACCUGCCACUGUUCGUUGAGUUUUUUACAAUUUGGGAGUAUCUUUGCCUUUCCUCUGGCAAUCUUGAAUGAAGUAAAUCAUCUGCAGUGGCAGGGGUAUAGCAGGGCUGAUGUGUCUUAAAUGUCCCAGUGAGGAGCAAUGGAAACAAAGAUGAGUACCAUGCUAUAUCAAUAGUCAGAACCUUUCUUAUGCAAAUAAGGACACCUAGGCACUCAAGUCACUGGGUGUUUUAUUGAAAAAUUACUGAAAUUGUUUGAGUUGAAAUCCAUAACCAUGUAAUUACCUGACAAUAGUAUAGCUGGUUUUUAAUUUUUUCUGUGAAUGUGAGAAUCUGUACUUGUAAAACGUAGGCUUGUAUGCCCUAAGAUGCAUCUGAACUGAAUAAAGUAUUGGAGUUUUUUGGUGUAAAUUACAUAAAAAAGCACAUACCUGUUUUAAACAAAUAUAAUUGUUAAGAGCUCAUGUUUCUACUGAAAUGCCCUUGUGGAGAGGAAUUAUAAUUCAUCCAGAAAAAUCAUUUAGUUUCCUUCAAAUAUCCAUUUUAAAUAAUAAAAUAACACAUUUCUUAA